RNAcentral lists this non-coding RNA (21 nucleotides) under Caenorhabditis elegans. The record is from RNAcentral. Lineage: Eukaryota; Metazoa; Nematoda; Chromadorea; Rhabditida; Rhabditidae.
UCACACUUUUUCAAUAGUAAC